This 566-nucleotide ribosomal RNA is filed under the name unidentified. RNAcentral's name for it is "Fusarium cyanescens partial 26S rRNA". It matches the Rfam family "Eukaryotic large subunit ribosomal RNA", at positions 60 to 649 of the family's 3401-position model. The record is from RNAcentral.
AGAAACCAACAGGGAUUGCCCCAGUAACGGCGAGUGAAGCGGCAACAGCUCAAAUUUGAAAUCUGGCUCUCGGGCCCGAGUUGUAAUUUGUAGAGGAUGCUUUUGGUGAGGUGCCUUCCGAGUUCCCUGGAACGGGACGCCAUAGAGGGUGAGAGCCCCGUCUGGUUGGACGCCGAACCUCUGUAAAGCUCCUUCGACGAGUCGAGUAGUUUGGGAAUGCUGCUCUAAAUGGGAGGUAUAUGUCUUCUAAAGCUAAAUACCGGCCAGAGACCGAUAGCGCACAAGUAGAGUGAUCGAAAGAUGAAAAGAACUUUGAAAAGAGAGUUAAACAGUACGUGAAAUUGUUGAAAGGGAAGCGCUUGUGACCAGACUUGGGCUUGGUUGAUCAUCCGGGGUUCUCCCCGGUGCACUCUUCCGGCUCAGGCCAGCAUCAGUUCGCCCUGGGGGAUAAAGGCAUCGGGAACGUGGCUCUCUCCGGGGAGUGUUAUAGCCCGUUGCGUAAUACCCUGUGGCGGACUGAGGUUCGCGCAUUCGCAAGGAUGCUGGCGUAAUGGUCAUCAGUGACC